RNAcentral lists this ribosomal RNA (223 nucleotides) under uncultured bacterium. Its description in RNAcentral is "partial 16S ribosomal RNA". It matches the Rfam family "Bacterial small subunit ribosomal RNA", at positions 335 to 544 of the family's 1533-position model. The record is from RNAcentral.
ACUCCUACGGGAGGCAGCAGUAGGGAAUCUUCCACAAUGGACGAAAGUCUGAUGGAGCAACGCCGCGUGAGUGAAGAAGGUUUUCGGAUCGUAAAACUCUGUUGUUGAAGAAGAACAUGCGUGAGAGUAACUGUUCAUGUAUUGACGGUAUUCAACCAGAAAGCCACGGCUAACUACGUGCCAGCAGCCGCGGUAAUAAACGGAGCCACACGCCGCGGUAAUA